UUAGGUGUCUUACGACUUAAUAGGGAAUUCGGUAUAAGCCGAAGCGGUCCCGCCACUGUAAGCAAGAGCGAAGUUACAAUGAUGUCACUGCAACAGGAAUUGUUGUGGGAAGGCGUAAUCAGCGAUGACAGCAAGCCAGGAGAACUGCCUAAUGAAU
This 157-nucleotide non-coding RNA is filed under the name Veillonella magna. Lineage: Bacteria; Bacillati; Bacillota; Negativicutes; Veillonellales; Veillonellaceae. The record is from RNAcentral.